RNAcentral lists this ribosomal RNA (233 nucleotides) under uncultured bacterium. RNAcentral's name for it is "partial 16S ribosomal RNA". It matches the Rfam family "Bacterial small subunit ribosomal RNA", at positions 524 to 757 of the family's 1533-position model. The record is from RNAcentral.
UACAGAGGGGACAAGCGUUGUUCGGAAUUACUGGGCGUAAAGGGCGCGUAGGCGGCCUUCUAAGUCGAACGUGAAAUCCCCGGGCUCAACCCGGGAACUGCGUCCGAUACUGGAAGGCUUGAAUCCGGGAGAGGGAUGCGGAAUUCCAGGUGUAGCGGUGAAAUGCGUAGAUAUCUGGAGGACACCGGUGGCGAAGGCGGCAUCCUGGACCGGUAUUGACGCUGAGGCGCGAA